GGGUGCAAUCAUACCAGCACUAAUGCACCGGAUACAAUCAAAAUUCCGCAGUUAAGAGUGUUUGGGCGAGAGUAGUACUAUGAUGGGUGACCUUUUGCGAAGUCCUCGUAUUACACCCC
This is a non-coding RNA of Beta vulgaris subsp. vulgaris (sugar beet), 119 nucleotides long. The record is from Rfam. Lineage: Eukaryota; Viridiplantae; Streptophyta; Magnoliopsida; Caryophyllales; Amaranthaceae.